AACUAACGCUGGCGGCGUGCCUAACACAUGCAAGUCGUACGAGAAAGUUGGCUUCGGCCGAUGAGUAAAGUGGCGCACGGGUGAGUAAUGCGUGGAUAAUCUGCCCUUUAGUUGGGAAUAACGUACCGAAAGGUGCGCUAAUACCUGAUAAUACUGCAUAACUACUGUUGUGUAGUCAAAGAAGGCCUCUGUUUACAAGCUUUUGCUGAAGGAUGAGUCCGCGUACCAUUAGCUGGUUGGUGGGGUAAUGGCCUACCAAGGCUACGAUGGUUAGCUGGUCUGAGAGGAUGAUCAGCCACACUGGAACUGAGACACGGUCCAGACUCCUACGGGAGGCAGCAGUGAGGAAUAUUGCGCAAUGGGGGCAACCCUGACGCAGCAACGCCGCGUGAGUGAGGAAGGUUUUCGGACCGUAAAGCUCUGUCGAGUGGGAAGAAGUGUAUCAUGGCUAAUAUCCGUGAUAUUUGACGGUACCGCUAGAGG
Molecule: ribosomal RNA, 483 nt
Filed under: uncultured bacterium
Lineage: Bacteria
Description: bacterial SSU rRNA
Rfam family: Bacterial small subunit ribosomal RNA
Source: RNAcentral